GUUAAAUAAAGGUGUUCUCAACUAGCCUACCUGGUUAAAUAAAGGUGUUCUCAACUAGCCUACCUGGUUAAAUAAAGGUGAUCUCAACUAGCCUACCUGGUUAAAUAAAGGUGUUCUCAACUAGCCUACCUGGUUAAAUAAAGGUGAUCUCAACUAGCCUACCUGGUUAAAUAAAGGUGUUCUCAACUAGCCUACCUGGUUAAAUAAAGGUGAUCUCAACUAGCCUACCUGGUUAAAUAAAGGUGUUCUCAACUAGCCUACCUGGUUAAAUAAAGGUGAUCUCAACUAGCCUACCUGGUUAAAUAAAGGUGAUCUCAACUAGCCUACCUGGUUAAAUAAAGGUGAUCUCAACUAGCCUACCUGGUUAAAUAAAGGUGAUCUCAACUAGCCUACCUGGUUAAAUAAAGGUGUUCUCAACUAGCCUACCUGGUUAAAUAAAGGUG
Oncorhynchus keta (chum salmon) is the source of this 443-nucleotide long non-coding RNA. RefSeq lists it as uncharacterized. The transcript is spliced from 3 exons. The record is from RefSeq and is a predicted model, not a curated record. Lineage: Eukaryota; Metazoa; Chordata; Actinopteri; Salmoniformes; Salmonidae.